GGCGGCGGACGCCGGAGUUAAGCGGGUUGUGUUUACGUCGUCUAUCGGAGCAGUGGCGAUGGAUCCGAACCGUGCGCCAGGUGUUGUUGUCGAUGAGUCCUGCUGGAGUGACAUAGAUUUCUGUGAGAAGACCAAGAACUGGUACUGUUACGGCAAGGUGGCGGCUGAGCAGGCGGCGUGGGAGACGGCACGGCGGCGCGGGGUGGAGCUGGUGGUCAUUUGCCCUGUCCUUGUGGUGGGCCCCCUCCUCCAGCCAGGGAUUAACGCCAGCAUUGCACACGUGCUAAAGUACCUCGACGGCUCAGCUCGCACGUACGCCAACGCCGUGCAGGCGUAUGUGCAUGUGCGAGAUGUGGCGGAAGCACACGUGCGAGUCUUCGAGGCUCCUGAGGCGUCUGGUCGGUACCUCUGCGCCGAGAGUGUGUUGCACCGUGCUGACGUGGUUCGUUGUUUGGCGAAGUUGUUCCCUGAGUAUCCUCUCCCAACAAGGUGCUCAGAUGAGGUUAAUCCGCGAAAGCAGCCCUACAAGUUUUCUAACAAGCGACUGAGGGACUUGGGGCUCGAGUUCACCCCAGCAAUACGUUGUUUCUAUGAUACUGUGAAGAGCCUUCAGGAAAAGGGUUGCCUCCCAGUUAUGGCCUCUCCUAUGAUUGAUGAGGACGGCAAUCUUAUCGACAUUCCUUCUCUUGAGACUGAAGAGAUC
This 703-nucleotide unclassified non-coding RNA is filed under the name Hevea brasiliensis (rubber tree). Lineage: Eukaryota; Viridiplantae; Streptophyta; Magnoliopsida; Malpighiales; Euphorbiaceae. The record is from RNAcentral.